UUGGUUUGUUUCAGGUGGUUGGCUGUUUGCUUGUGCUACAACUUCCACCCGGCUUACCUUUUCAGUUUUGCGUUAAGGCUUGUAUCAUCUUAUCGCAUUGUGGGUUUCCUGUGUUGCAUGCCUAAUNGAAGGUAUUAUUUUGCCUUAUCAAAGUCCCCCUUUGUCUNGUGCUACAUUUGUGGCAUGGGAUGAACCUUGAAGCAGUCUCUUUGAUCCACAUUGUUGAUGCACAAGUGUUGAUGUUGUGGCUCAUUGGUAUUGCUUUGUCUCAUGGAUACAGAAUCUGAUUUGGGCAUGUGGUCUUUAUGGGAUCAUUGUUUUGCCCUUUGUACUUCUCUGAGAUGACGACCUCUCAUGCAUUGGCUCGUACCAGCAUGAUGGGUUAUGUCGAAGAGGAAUGCUACCUGGUUGAUCCUGCCAGUAGUCAUAUGCUUGUCUCAA
RNAcentral lists this unclassified non-coding RNA (441 nucleotides) under Blepharispermum arcuatum. RNAcentral's name for it is "partial external transcribed spacer". The record is from RNAcentral. Lineage: Eukaryota; Viridiplantae; Streptophyta; Magnoliopsida; Asterales; Asteraceae.